Molecule: long non-coding RNA, 617 nt
Filed under: Helianthus annuus (common sunflower)
Lineage: Eukaryota; Viridiplantae; Streptophyta; Magnoliopsida; Asterales; Asteraceae
Description: sRNA HanXRQr2_Chr14g0639861
Source: RNAcentral
UCCAGAUUUUCUCUUUCUCUUUCUCUUUCUCUUUAUAUUCAUAUUCAUUCACACAAACAAAUUAGGGCUCAAUUCCGCAAUUUCACCAUUGAAGCAGCUUCAACAAGUUAGGUUUAAUACAUUCAGAUUUCUCAACAGAUCAUCGUUAUGAUAACAACAACAACAUCUGCAUUGUGAUUGUAAGACGAUGAUCAUGGCGAACGGCAGUCCUCCGUACGAAUGGCUGUUUGAUGAUGACGAUGACGGUUACGGUUUUGACUUUUGACGUAACCGCCAUGGAAGACAAUCGUUUGACGUAACCGUUGGAUUUUGAAUCGAUGUUCAAUUCGAUUGGAGAACAAUCGCGUGGUGACUUUUCGGAGGUAAAAUUCUGAGUUUGUUUGAUUGUUUGUGUUUUAAAAGUGUUUGUGAGUUUGAUUGUGUGAAUACGUAUUGAAUGCGUGAUGUGAUGGUUUGGAUUGAAGGAUUAAGUGUUUUUGAAGAGAUUUUGGAGUGAUUAGUGGUGAAUAUGAGUGUUGUUUUGUAUAAAUGUUUAGAAUGUGAUAUGCUGCUGCAAGUUUAAUGAAGUUUUAAGUGAUUAGAGUGUAUUAUAUGUUUGUGUAAAGGAUUCGAUCUUU